RNAcentral lists this transfer RNA (74 nucleotides) under Apaloderma vittatum (bar-tailed trogon). It matches the Rfam family "tRNA". From Rfam's summary of the family: Transfer RNA (tRNA) molecules are approximately 80 nucleotides in length. Lineage: Eukaryota; Metazoa; Chordata; Aves; Trogoniformes; Trogonidae. The record is from Rfam by way of RNAcentral.
GGCCCGUUAGCUCAGUCGGUUAGAGUGUGGUGCUGAGCACACCAAGGUCACGAGUUCGAUCCCCAUUCAGUCCC